RNAcentral lists this ribosomal RNA (2839 nucleotides) under Sulfuricurvum sp. RNAcentral describes it as "bacterial LSU rRNA". It matches the Rfam family "Bacterial large subunit ribosomal RNA". The record is from RNAcentral. Lineage: Bacteria; Pseudomonadati; Campylobacterota; Epsilonproteobacteria; Campylobacterales; Sulfurimonadaceae.
GAAAAAGAUAUUAAGGGCCAUAGGUGGAUGCCUUGGCUGGUAGAGGCGAUGAAGGACGUAUUAGGCUGCGAUAAGCCUCGGGGAGCUGCCAAAGAGCUUUGAUCCGGGGAUUUCCGAAUGGGGCAACCCAACAUAUCGAGAGGUAUGUUACCCUACGGGGGGCGAACUCAGGGAAGUGAAACAUCUCAGUACCUGAAGGAAUAUAAAUCAAACGAGAUUCCCAAAGUAGCGGCGAGCGAAAUGGGAUUAGGACAAACCGAUUGCUUGCAAUCGGGGUUGCGGACUGCAUACGGCAUUGCGAGUCGAUAGAAGAAUGAGUUGGAAAGCUCGACCAUAGAGGGUGAUAGUCCCGUACUUGAAAUUGACAGACAGCUAGCAGGAUCCAGAGUAGGUCGGGACACGUGUUAUCUUGACUGAAGCCGGGGGGACCACCCUCCAAUCCUAAAUACUACUACCAGACCGAUAGCGAACUAGUACCGUAAGGGAAAGGUGAAAAGAACUGCGGUGAGCAGAGUGAAAUAGAACCUGAAACCUAUGGCUUACAAUCAUUCGGAGCCCUAUUCUUUAUGAAGGGUGACGGACUGCCUUUUGCAUAAUGAGCCUGCGAGUUGUGGUGUCUGGCAAGGUUAACCUCACGGGAAGCCGUAGCGAAAGCGAGUCUUAAUAGGGCGAAUUAGUCAGAUGCUGCAGACCCGAAACUAAGUGAUCUAUCCAUGAGCAGGUUGAAGCUGGUGUAAGAGCCAGUGGAGGACCGAACCGGUGGGUGUUGAAAAACCCUCGGAUGACUUGUGGAUAGGGGUGAAAGGCCAAUCAAACUUAGUGAUAGCUGGUUCUCUCCGAAAUAUAUUUAGGUAUAGCCUCGAGUCGUAACAUGAAGGGGUAGAGCACUGACAGGGCUAGGGCUGCUUACCGCGGUACCAAACCCUUUCAAACUCCGAAUACUUCAUGCGUAAUCUCGGGAGUCAGGCGGUGGGUGAUAAAAUCAAUCGUCAAGAGGGGAACAACCCAGACUAACAGCUAAGGUCCCAAAGUCGUAUCUGAGUGGAAAAAGAUGUGGAGUUGCUGAGACAAUCAGGAAGUUGGCUUAGAAGCAGCCAUCCUUUAAAGAAAGCGUAACAGCUCACUGAUCUAGCGAUUCUGCGCUGAAAAUAUAACGGGGCUAAGAUACGCACCGAAGCUUUAGAUUCGUAUUUAUACGAGUGGUAGGAGAGCGUUCCAAACAGCGUUGAAGGUAUACCGGUGAGGAGUGCUGGAGCGUUUGGAAGUGAGCAUGCAGGCAUGAGUAGCGAUAAAAGCAGUGAGAAUCUGCUUCGCCGUAAACCCAAGGUUUCCUACGCGAUGCUCGUCAUCGUAGGGUUAGUCGGGACCUAAGUCGAGUCCGAAAGGGGUAGACGAUGGCAAGUUGGUUAAUAUUCCAACACCGACAAUUGUUCGUUUGAGUGAUGGGGGGACGCAUAGGGCUAAUCGAGCUCACUGAUGGAAUAGUGGGUCGAAGGACGUAGGCUGAAACAUAGGCAAAUCCGUGUUUCAUUAGGCCGAGAUCUUACAGGCCGAGCAAAAUCUUCGGAUUGCGCUUGGAAUCGAUGAUGCCGUCGUGCCAAGAAAAGCCUCUAAACGAGAACAAUUGUCGCCCGUACCGUAAACCGACACAGGUGGGUGAGAUGAGUAUUCUAAGGCGCGUGGAAGAACCCUGGUUAAGGAACUCUGCAAACUAGCACCGUAUCUUCGGUAUAAGGUGUGCCCUAAGUAUGUGAAGGAGCUAGCCUCUGGAGCAGAACCGGGUCGCAGCAAAGUGUCCCUCCCGACUGUUUACCAAAAACACAGCACUCUGCUAACUCGUAAGAGGAUGUAUAGGGUGUGACGCCUGCCCGGUGCUCGAAUGUUAAAAGGAUGUGUCAGCGCAAGCGAAGCAUUGAAUUGAAGCACGAGUAAACGGCGGCCGUAACUAUAACGGUCCUAAGGUAGCGAAAUUCCUUGUCGGUUAAAUACCGACCUGCAUGAAUGGCGUAACGAGAUGGGAGCUGUCUCAACCAGGGAUCCAGUGAAAUUGUAGUGGAGGUGAAAAUUCCUCCUACCCGCGGAAAGACGGAAAGACCCCGUGCACCUUUACUAUAGCUUGACAUUGCUAUUGGGAUACUUUUGUGCAGGAUAGGUGGGAGCUGUUGAUNNAUGGAGGACACUGUCUGGUGGGUAGUUUGACUGGGGCGGUCGCCUCCUAAAAAGUAACGGAGGCUUACAAAGUUCGGCUCAGAAGGGUUGGAAAUCCUUCGUAGAGUAUAAUGGCAUAAGCCGGACUGACUGUAAGACAGACAAGUCGAGCAGAGUCGAAAGACGGUCAUAGUGAUCCGGUGGUUCUGUGUGGAAGGGCCAUCGCUCAAAGGAUAAAAGGUACGCCGGGGAUAACAGGCUGAUCUCCCCCAAGAGCUCACAUCGACGGGGAGGUUUGGCACCUCGAUGUCGGCUCAUCGCAUCCUGGGGCUGGAGCAGGUCCCAAGGGUAUGGCUGUUCGCCAUUUAAAGCGGUACGCGAGCUGGGUUCAGAACGUCGUGAGACAGUUCGGUCCCUAUCUUCCGUGGGCGCAGGAGAGUUGAGGAGAGCUGACCCUAGUACGAGAGGACCGGGUUGGACGUACCACUGGUGUACCAGUUGUUCUGCCAAGAGCAUCGCUGGGUAGCUACGCACGGAUGUGAUAACCGCUGAAAGCAUCUAAGCGGGAAGCCAACUCCAAGAUGAACUCUCCCUGAAGUUCCCUUGAAGACUACAAGGUUAAUAGGCCAGGUGUGUAAGAGCAGUAAUGCUUUCAGCUGACUGGUACUAAUAGAACGUUCGUCUUUAUCUA